UGGGAUGAUGAUUUCAUAGACUAGAGUCUCUGACAAAAGCAUGAAGUUAUUUCACAGUGCACUGACCA
Cottoperca gobio is the source of this 68-nucleotide small nucleolar RNA. Lineage: Eukaryota; Metazoa; Chordata; Actinopteri; Perciformes; Bovichtidae. The record is from Ensembl.